RNAcentral lists this ribosomal RNA (504 nucleotides) under uncultured bacterium. RNAcentral's name for it is "bacterial SSU rRNA". It matches the Rfam family "Bacterial small subunit ribosomal RNA", at positions 21 to 518 of the family's 1533-position model. The record is from RNAcentral.
GGCUCAGGAUGAACGCUAGCGACAGGCCUAACACAUGCAAGUCGAGGGCAGCACAAGGAGCAAUCUGAGGUGGCGACCGGCGCACGGGUGAGUAACACGUAUGCAACCUGCCUGUAAGCGGGGAAUAACCCGUUGAAAGAACGGACUAAUACCGCAUAAUACUAAAUUACUGCAUGGUAAUUUAUUUAAACAUUUAUGGCUUACAGAUGGGCAUGCGCAUGAUUAGCUAGUUGGAGAGGUAACGGCUCCCCAAGGCAACGAUCAUUAGGGGUUCUGAGAGGAAGGUCCCCCCACACUGGUACUGAGACACGGACCAGACUCCUACGGGAGGCAGCAGUGAGGAAUAUUGGUCAAUGGACGAGAGUCUGAACCAGCCAAGUCGCGUGCAGGAAGAAUUGUCCUAUGGAUUGUAAACUGCUUUUGCAGGGGAAUAAAGUGCAUCACGUGUGAUGUUUUGUAUGUACUCUGCGAAUAAGGAUCGGCUAACUCCGUGCCAGCCGCGGC